Molecule: ribosomal RNA, 570 nt
Filed under: Helminthosporium velutinum
Lineage: Eukaryota; Fungi; Ascomycota; Dothideomycetes; Pleosporales; Massarinaceae
Description: eukaryotic LSU rRNA
Rfam family: 5.8S ribosomal RNA (bases 210-363)
Source: RNAcentral
CGUAACAAGGUUUCCGUAGGUGAACCUGCGGAAGGAUCAUUACAUUUUAGCUGCCGCAAGGCAGCAACCGCCCACCGCGAGGUGGGGUCGGCACCCUCUGUCUACUUGUACCUCUUGUUGUUUCCUCGGCAGGCUUGCCUGCCGCAAGGAACCCCUUAAACUCUUGCAUCUAAAGUAUUACAAAACUCUGAUAACUACUUAAUUAUCACAACUUUCAACAAUGGAUCUCUUGGUUCUGGCAUCGAUGAAGAACGCAGCGAAAUGCGAAAAGUAGUGUGAAUUGCAGAAUUCCGUGAAUCAUCGAAUCUUUGAACGCACAUUGCGCCCCUCGGUAUUCCGUGGGGCAUGCCUGUUCGAGCGUCAUUUACACCCUCAAGCUCUGCUUGGUGUUGGGCGUCUGUCCCGCCUUCGCGCGUGGACUCGCCCCAAAGUUAUUGGCAGCGGUCGUGCCAGCUUCUCGUGCAGCACAUUGCGCUUCUUGAAGCCCUGGUGGAUCAGCAUCCAGCAAGCCUUUUUAUUAACUUGACCUCGGAUCAGGUAGGGAUACCCGCUGAACUUAAGCAUAUCAAA